RNAcentral lists this long non-coding RNA (12493 nucleotides) under Lynx pardinus (Iberian lynx). Lineage: Eukaryota; Metazoa; Chordata; Mammalia; Carnivora; Felidae. The record is from RNAcentral.
AGGGAUCUCUGGUGCGCUGAAGGGGGAGGGUGGUGCUGGUGGUAACUGUCCCGGAGGUGGAGACCCGCCGACUGGAGGCGAGAGGCGGCCGUGGGGCAGUUUGGGCAGCGCCGCUACAUCUCUCAGGAAUUGGGACGGGGAAAAGUGGAGGAGGGGGAGGGGAACUCUUUGUUUGCAGUUGGAAUGCGCGGAGGGGCACGGUGGAAUGUGACGGUCCCGGACGGGGCGACGCGAGGCAUGUUCUGCGCAAACAUCGUGACUUUGUUCCUACUGUGGGGACUGUGGGAGAGACGGAGAGAGACUGGCACAGAAGUAGUGAGACAGGGAGAGUUCCAUAAAGAGGGGGACAGGGAAAAAGAAAGGUAGAUACACAAAGAGGCUCAGAGACGCGUAUGUGAAGAACCCAGAAGGGCGAUGAAACCCAUGUAGAGAGGUGGAAGACAGGUAGCGAAAGAAAGGGCGAGCCGGAGCAAACGGGAUCGUGGGUGGUACGGAGACCGAAAGAUGAACAGACUAAGAAAAAGAAAAAUUUAUGCAUGUCCGGACAGAAUGAGAGACCUACGAUAAUCUGCAAUAAAAAGACACCACUUUCUGAACCCAAAGCUCUGCGACGGUAGGGAGAGAAGGACCUUUAGGGGCUACGUAAAAGGAGUGGGGAAAAGGGUUGGGGCUAAUCUCUACCUUCAGGGUGGGACAGAUACAGGAAUAGAGACACCCCCUGGUGUUGGGAAAUGAGAUUUUUAGCAACUAUUUCAGGUGACUAUGGGGAUAGAAGGACUGGUUUUAGGGCUAGCGAAUGCCUCCCCCUUGGUUGGCCCACAGGAGAUUGGUGAUAAAGAGUAAGUAUUAACUUAGGAAGAAGAAGAGAAAUGUCCUUUAGACGAGCUAGCAAGUGAAAAUGAUCAGGGUGGAAAAGGGAAAGAGGCUUCUAAUAUGGGCCACACUGGAAGGAUCAAGAACAAGGAAAGAAGGAAAGGGGGGGCUGAAACUGAACAUACCUAAUUAAAUACCAGUCAACUGAUUUUGCCCUGACUAGCACAUCAGGCGCAAGGGGUGGAGGAGGUAGAAUGGAGAAGGAAAAUGAUUCUUUUGUAUUUAGAUAGUAAAUGAGUAUGAAAAUUAUAUGCAAACAAAUCAUGCAUAUUAUUUUCAUUUCAACAUUUUGAACACCUUUCAUAAUCUUAGUGUAGCCUUAGGGAAUGGUGAAGCAAAGGAGGUUAAUAUCUUUGGGGAAAUUAAUUUGGCACAAACUAUUUGGCUUCUUUGUCCUAGCUGCAUUGUCUCCCUGACCUCAUCUCUCGGGAGAAUCAGCCUCUCUGUUUCCCUAUCAGGCCUACAGCUCUUCUCUGAUCCGGAGGAGAGUUCACUAUCAGACCAGAAGCAGGGAACACUGAAAGCGUUAGUAACAGAGGGGAGCUAUCAGGUUGCAUCCAGAACCUGCUGUGAGCAACAUCUUCAGAAUUAACCAUAAGGCUCUCCCUCCUUUCCUGUCUCCAUAUGGAGAAGGAAAACCUGGAUUCUUCCUUCCUAUUACUUACAACCAGAAUAUCCACAGAGCCUCUCAUAUUUGGAAGCUUUCCCCAUUUAUAGUGAGGAUGGGAGACUGAAUCUCUUAUGAAAAGUUGAGGAGCCUUUGGUGGUGGCAGCAGUGGGCACAGUUGGGAUCAAGCACCUGUAUUUUCAGGGGAUAACAGGAAACAGAGACAAGUGAAGGGGGAGAGGGAUGCACUGAGGGCAUACUCCGGUAGUGCUCAUGACCUCAGGGUAAUCACUCUUUUGGAGCCAGGAGCUCCACCAGCCCUGUUCUCCCUUCUCAAGACUUUAAUUAUGAACUAUGUACACAGAUGGCUCCCAAAUCCCUAUCUGUAGCCCAGACAUUUUUUUUUUUUUAAGGUAAGCUCUAUGCCCAACAUGGUGCUUGAACUCAUGACUCUGAGGUCAAGAAUCCCAUGCUCCACUGAUUAAGUCAGCCAGGUGCCCCUUAGCCCAGACUAUCUUAGACUUAAAAACUCAGCUGACUACUAUCAUCUCCACGUGGUUGUCUCAAAGGCAUACAACCCCCUCAACUGACUAUACCUUCUCUGCCUCCUGAAAUUGGCCCCUCCAGCAUCCCAAGUAAACGGCGCCAUUAACCACUUAGAUGCUUAUGCCAGAAACCUGAACGUCAACCUUAUGUCCUCCUCCCUCAGCCUUAAGUCCAAGCCCUGUCAAUCACCAAGUCCUUUCAGUUCGGCUUCCUAAAUCUCUUUCAAAUCCCCUCACCAUCACUUUCUGUCUAGCCACCAUCUCUUCUCUCCUGAACCACUGCAGGACAUCCCCCCCUGCCCCCGCCCCCGCAAGGCUUUCUCCCUGCAAUCCAUCUUAUCCCCAGGGCAAGUGAUUCUUAUCAAACACAGAACUGACCAUCUCAUUUCCCUGCUUACCACCUUUGAAGGAUUUCUCAUGGCCUUUGAACUAAAGUCUAUACUCUUCAAGAUACUUGACAAGGUCUCUGGGUCUCUCCAGCUUUCCUCUGCACCAACUCCUCCCCAUCUUUCAGGUAUUACUUUAAACAGCACUCUCUGAGAAGCGUUUCCCCACCACCAGCGUAGGUGAGCCAACCCUGCUGUCUGCUGCCGCUACACCUUCUGCUCCCCCAUCACCACCCUUAUCACAGUUCAUUUCACUGUCUACUUAACUACCUGGCUUCCUGAUUAGAUAAUAAAACCUAAUCGGCAUCUAACCUGAUCCACAGUGUAACCACAGCACCCAAGACAGUACCUGACACCUAGUAAGCAAUCAGUAUUUGUUACAUACUGACUGAACAGAAAGCCAUUUUUACUUCACAAUCCAUUAGUAAUGCACAAAGUUUGGGUGUGGAUGUGUGGGGGUGCACGUGUGGGUGUGCGCGUGCGCGCGCACACACGCACACACGCACACACACACACACACCCCUUCCUCAAAAUAUAGUUUGGUUGACAGGACUAAUAGCUACAAAGCCUCAUAUACUGCUUGGUCACACAGUGGGAGAGCAGCUGCUAGUGACACAUGGGAACUCUUUAAGCUUUAAUUUCUUCAUGUGUAAGAUGGGAAUAAUAAAAUCUGCCUUAUAUAAUUCAAUAAACAAUAGCUAUUAUAUCUGUUUCCCAAUUCCCAAAUAGAGACACAGCCGUGUUCUGCUCAGAAGCAUCAAGCCCAUGGCUGAGACUGCCCACCAGGUGGCAGUAUUAUCCUGGACUGGUUCUGUUCGGCUUCCACUGCAGAGCCAGACCAGCAGUCAUGGGGAAGCAGAAGGUACAACCAGGGCUGCUUCCCCAGAGCUUUGAGUGAAACCAGAAAAAAAACCAACUCAGAGACUGGGGCAGAUGUCAAGAAGGCCUCAUGUUUCUUAGACCCAUCCUUCUCCUUUUUUUCAGCUCAGGCUCCCCGAGGCACUAUUUAUGCUUAGAAAUAAGCAUUUUCUGGCUUGCCAUUCACAGUGGGGGGCGGUUUUCCCCCUUCUAGAUAAGUCUUUAUCCCAGCACAGCUGCUGGCUUCCACUUCCAUUGGGGACUGUGUUAAGAAGAGAGACAGAUUUGCUUUCUCAGACUGCAGAGGACAUCUUGUUAUUCUGGGAAGCCCCGCGGCCAUCCAUUUCUGGGACAUGGGGAGUGGCAGAAGCCAGAGUUAUUCUUGGUUAUAGAUUUCAUUCAUCCUUUUCCACUUUGAUUUCAAUGAAGGAGUUCAAGUCAGGACAACAGGUUUUGUGGGGUUGGUCAAAAGAUGGGGAGACAGGUCCAUUCUCAUCACCUCCCUCAUCUUCCUCUUCUUGGAAAUUAGGAUUAUAAAGUUCUGGUGGAAGGAGCUGGGCCUCAGCAGAAGGUAAUCGGUCUGAGGGAGGUCCAUACACACGGUUGGCUUUUGUGCCAUGCUUAGAGUUGGCAUCCAGGUGGUAGCAGAGUUCCGUGAGGCGCUGGGCCCGGAAACGGGGAGGCCGGGCCACCCAGACACCUGGCUCAUUAAGACUGUCCUCUUCGUCUGACAUCAGCUCUUCUGUCACAUCCUUCCAUAGGCGUUGGUCCUCAGGUCCAAAAUGCCUCAUGAUGCUGGAUCGGUUGGCAAAAAGCUAAGGUAGGAGCCCAGGAUAGAGAUUAGGAAGAGAGACAGACUAAGGAUUAGAUUUGGGGAGAGGAGUUCGGGUAGGAAAGCUGUGUAAAAUCUGUGCCUGAGAGAACCUAGCCCCCCUCCCUCCUCCUCUACCUGCUAACAUUCCUGGCUCUCAACCCUAUUCUCAGAUGCCAGGUCCUCUGGCCCUUCCCACUGCAGCUCAGUAGGGUUUAGCAUUUAGCAUCUUGAAAGGAAGGCCUAGAAACCUACCCGGUAUCUGCGACUUCGAAGCUUCUUCUCCUCUUUUUCCUUCAGGCCUUUAAAGGGGUUCAGGGAAUUGCGGUACUCACGCCUCUUAGUAAGGAAGUAGGCUACACAGGCUCCUGGGAGGAGGGAGAAGGGAGGGGGCAGAGAGCAGGGUCCUCUGAACCAGGUCCUCAGCCCUUUUUUCUGCCCUAACACUGUUGGCUGGGAAGGUGAGGGUCCCUCUAGAUGGUGGGCUUUCUCACAGACCCAUCAGCAGGUAUUUACUCCUCUUUGGUUUAGCUCUCUCUGCUCACCUCCAUGUCCAGCACUGACUCCACCCAUAUCUCCCCCUGGGAACACAAGUCCAAGCUUCUGUAACUCCCUCCCUGGCCCUUGACUCAAUUAAACCCACUCCCAUUCUACUCUGCUGGUAGUAGAUUCAAGUGCUUUUUCAACAGCAGCUUUCUAAAUGCUUCAGGGUUAGCUACAAGCAAAAAACAGAAGAGUAAGGAAAGUAGAAAACCCAGGACAUAAUAUUUAGGGACAAAAGGGCAGGCCUGGGGCGCCUGGGUGGCUUAGUCGGUUGAGCGUCAGACUCUUGAUCUCAGCUCAGGUCAUGAUCUCAAGGUUCUGUCGGUGAGUUCAAGCCCUUUGUUGGGCUCUGCACUGACACGUGGAGCCUGCUUGGGAUUCUCUCUCUCCCUCUCUCUCUGCCCCUCCCUCACUUGAGUGAGCGCGCACAUCUUAAACUAAAUAAAUAAAAAAACAGAAAGGGCAGGCCUGGAUUCUGACUUCCUUUUCUUUUUUUUUUUUUUACUUUUUUUUUUAACCUUUAUUUAUUUUUGAGACAGAGAGAGACAGAGCAUGAAUGGGGGAGGGUCAGAGAGAGGGAGACACAAAAUCUGAAACAGGCUCCAGGCUCUGAGCUGUCAGCACAGAGCCCGACGCGGGGCUCGAACUCACGGACCGCGAGAUCAUGACCUGAGCCGAAGUCGGUUGCCUAACCGACUGAGCCACCCAGGCGCCCCCUGACUUCCUUUUCAUAACACCCUAGAUUCAGGCCCUGCAGAAACAUCAUGCACGCUGGUUUCAGCCCUUUCCUUUUCCCAUUUUCAGUUCAAGCGGGGCAGGGGAAUAAAAAAGCAAUUAGAAACCAUUCUGUGAAGAAGAUGUGAGAAUAGCCCCAAAAUUUUAUUUUAAGUCCACUCUUUUGAAAACCACCCAAAUCAUCUCCAUUAUGCCUCUACUCUGAACAAGAACAGUGAGUGGAAAAAGGAUGAGAUGGGAGUUAAUUCAGUUUUUUCUCACCUUUCAGCUCCUUAUCAGUGUAAUUGUGGGGACUGGUCACCAGCUCCUGCUUGAGCUUUUCCAGAAGGAACUUCACUACUGAAAUAUUCCAAGAGGACUUGAUGCUGCCACAAAGAUCAUGAACAAGGCAGUCAGCAUUUUGAAAGCCAGAAAAACAGAGAUUCCUGGCAUGAAUCAACUGUGUGGUAAAUGCCCUCACGGCCAAGGGCAGGAUGCAAGGGGCAAUGGUGAGAGCAAAGCCUUAGCCUCAUUGUUACACUGGAACAGCCCUCUAGUUCCCUCUCCUUGGCAGAGUACCUUAUGAUUGUUUUCCCUCAAGGGGAUCGUACCUUUCAGACCCAUUGAAUCUCUUGUCGUUGGUGAUGUGGUUAUGCACAUUGUGGACCAAUUUCUAGGUGAAAAAACAAACACAGAUUCAAGCUGAGAGUGUAUAUGAUGGAACCCUCCUCUGUUCCCUAGGCAUUGUCUCUAUGGGGUUCUCUGCCCGAAUCCUUCCCAUAGUCUGGGCACCAUUUCUGAUGACACUCUUUCUUAGCCAGAGAGCCUAUCCAAGUCAGUACUUCUAAUGUCCCCCCUUUUUUGGUCCUUUUCAUUUAAUUUGUAUGGAGGCUCUAGGAUCAUCCCUGGUCUUACUUUUCUGUUCCUGGGGAAUAUGAUCAGUAGAGCAAAAGGUCUCAGACAUUUUCACAAACAUACUCCUUACAAAUAGCCAGGAGAGAGCAAAUAUACACCAAGACUACUGCAAGUGGACAUUUCUUGAGGCCCCCUAUUCUUGCAAAUUUUAAAGUUUUCUUUACAAUAUAUCUAUAUAUUUUUAAUCUAAAAAUGUCUUCCAAUCUUUUAGUACAAUUGAUGACCCAGGAAAAUGCCCUAGGUGUAUAUAUCCUUUUGCACAUUACCACAAGUCCCAGGGGUAUACACACCAUGGUCUGAAAAACACAAACCUAAAAUAACAGAAAUGUGAAAUGCAAAGGACCUUGGAGACUCUAUCACCCAACCUCCCUUUCACAUCAUCGAACAGGCUUUCAGCUUUGCUUACACACCUUUAAUAAUGGGUUCUCACUAGUUUUUUGGGCCAGCUUAUUUUACUGUUGAACAUCUCUAAUUGUUAAAAAGUUUUGCCUUAGACUCCAAAAUCUGACCAGUUUUGCCUAUAACGGCACCUAACAUCUUUGAAGACAGGUCUCAUGUACUCCCCAAAUCUUCUCCUAUUCAGUCUAAAUAUCCCCAAGUCCUUCAGCCAUUCCUCAUGACAGUUUCCAAACAGACUCUUCAUGAAACCAUCAGGCUCUCUGGCUUGCCAGUGUCCCUUGGACAACAUGGCACUGGGAACUGAAUCUAAUCCAUCAGCUGGGACCUGGCCAAAGGGAGCAUUACUUCCCUGAAUGGAACUCUACAUUUCUAGGAAUGAAACCCAAGAUGGUGUUACCUUUCUUAGCAACCCCACCCCUAUUCCCAAUGUCACAGGGUUCAUUCCCUGUGAGCUGUCAACUCAAGUCUACUUUUCACAUGGAUUCCUAUCUCUGCCAUUCUACAACUGCUUUGCUUUUUUAACUUUGAUGCAGAAUUUUACAUUUCUUCCUAUUAGAUUUAGUUUUGCUGUUUCUGAUUAUAUUUUUUAUCUCAAGCUCCCUCAGUCAGUGGAAAUUCCCAGUCCCAAACCGAUGGACCCAUAUACUGAUCUCAAGACCUCAGUUUCAAUUAAGAAAUCCCCAUUUACCCUUCUGCUUCUAUGACUGACUAACCAUAUCAAUUUAGGAAAUUUUUAUGGUUAGGGUCUCUACUCUAUAAAAAAGGCCUGUAAUUAAACUAGCUUCUCAUAUUUUAUAUAUUUUAUCUCUUAGAAGUCCCAACUUAAGGAAUCACAAGAGGUGGGCAAAUGCUUCAAAAAAAUUUGAAAGUGUUGCAAAAAAAAGGAAAAAAGGGGAGUUGCACAGCUUCCAAUUCAAGUGGCUUGGAAGAGAUCAGCUGAUAAAAAUCAAACCAGGCUUGAAGUGGAAAGGGAAAAUACUCCGAGACAAUAAUAAGUGUUAAGACUGUAAAGGCAGCUGGCUCACCUACCUCCUGAGUGAGCUAAAAAUAAAUAUAUUCCCCAAUGGGUAGCUGGGAUUUGCAGCAUUCCAAGAAGUCAGUGGUUCCGGUUUGGUCCUUUUGGAUCCCUAGCAGUGACCCACAGCAGCCUGAGUGGAUUGGAGAGAUGCCUCCUUGAUUCCUUCCCAGAGCUAAAGGCUGGAAGACUGAAGGCCUGCGGCUAGCCCUCUCCCUCUAAACCACAUUUUAAACCUUCCUCUGUGAUGGGCAGCAAAAUUCCCUGACCAGUCCUCCAGGGCCUUUUCAAGUAAUGUAACAGAGAGCAUGGGGAGUGAGCAUACUCUCCUCCAAGGUCCUCAGUUUCACCAGGCUCUCCAAAGGGCAGGUGGGAGCCAGCCCUCCACACCGACCUCUCGCUGGAGGCAGUAGGCUGGAGAGGAAUGGAAGUGGUCGGAAACCCUAAUUUUAUGCAAAUUGUAAUUAUCAUACAUUUAUUCAUGAUUUAAACACUAUGCUUGAAAUGCAUUUCUAGGUACAUAUGCCUCCAUUUCUAUCACUGGAAGCAAGAGAUUCAUGACAGAAAAACUAAACCCUAUUCGUGAUAAGUGAGAUAUCCCUGAACAUAACCAAAAUUUUAAAUGAAGUCUGGAAAAAAAGAUAAUAAAAUAAAAUAAAACGAAGGUUAGAAACCAGUUGAUUCGGAUUAUGAACGGUGUCUUCCUUCCCAGGGAUGAAAAGAAUCCCUCGGUGUAAAAACAAAUCAAGUGAAAGGGAGAGUAAGAGUCAGGAGCCCUUAGGAAAGGGAAAAAGAAGAAAGAAGUAAUGCAGAUGAAGAAGGUGUGCGCGUAACCGGCUGUCUUCAACCUUUACUAAGACUGUGACAGGAGGAAAGGGGCUGUGCUGUGAGAUUUCUUCGGAUGGGUGUGAAUGAUGAGCUCCCCUCCUAAUCAGAACUCUCCAGUUACUCUAUCAGCCAUAAGCCAGAGAAAGGAAAUGGCUUAUAGUCCAUAUGAACACGAUCUAGCUAAGGAACACCCCCGUGGUUAUCAGAAAGAUGUUCUGGGGCACAGAGUUGAUCCACAGGACAAUGGUUACCUUAGAACAGGGUUUCUCAACCUUGGCACUAUGGACAUUUUAGGUCGAAUAAUUUUCGGGGGCUGCCCUGUGCACUGCAGGAUGCUUAGUGAUGUUCCUAAGGCUCCAAGCCACUCCAAGUUUCAGGCAAAACUGGUUCAACCCGGUACCUUCCCUGCCAAGAUCCCCUUGGAUCACUAGACUGUCCAAACCUUCAUAACUGAGCUGAGUCUCUAGUGGUCCUCUGCAUCCUUGGGGUUUGGGACCACCUCAGGAUACCUUGGCCUUUCUGCCAAUGGGUCCCUUGCUGCUUACCCUGAACACUGGUAAAUGGCAGGCUGUUUCUAGUGCUAGGGAGGAGGUGUGAUAUAAUUCCCUUCUCUUUAAACAGAAGAUUUCAAUCUAUUUGGCAAAGCCUUAAAAAAAUUCCAUGAUUAGCAGGGGGACUGCCUGUCCCUAGGGCUAUGGACCAGUCUGUCUCCUUCUUGCCCCUCCCUCUCCAGUAUGAUACAGGACACCACUCAAUCAAUAUGGGAAGUUUAAAAUCAACCCACACUUCAUUCUUAUCUCUCCAGACUGAAGAAAAAUUUAUAGAAUUGAGCUCACUCACGGAGAGUACCAGAUCCCGCUUGCGCCUGGAGUUCUUCUGCCCACUCCCUCUGGUCCUGCAUGGGGAAGCAGUAAACCCUAGAGAGUGUCUCAGCUCCCCUGUUCCCCCAGGGCCUGACUCUUCCAAGGCACCGUCCAGCGCAGCUGCAGCACUGAGCAUGUCCUCAGGGCGGGGCGGUGGCAGCUUGGUUCCAUUUUCUGGCCCUGUCUCUGAGGUUGCCCGCUGGAUAGCCAGUUGUGUGGCUGGUGAGAGUUGCUUGGCAUAAGCAGGGACCAGCACCCGCUGUACUGCACCCUCAGAGGCCACAUAAUCAUCCACCAGCUAAGAACAUAAAAAAGAAUAGCCUAUUAGCCAUCCAGGCUUAGGGGAACCCGGUCACCCAUCAUUCUUUGGCCAAGGAUAAUGAGAGAGUGGAAAGCAGGGGGAAUCCAAGACAGUCUUUAAUGGCCAAUAACUUGUUUCUCUGGUACUCCUAUGGGGGUGUUGGCAAAUAUUUCUGGGAUACCCAGGGCCUCUCAUGUUGAAUUGUUACCAUAGGACUGAUUACAAGGACAAGGCUUGUUUCUGACACUCUGUUUGUGAGGAAUCCUCUAUGAUUUGCUCUUGGGUAUAAGAACCGUAGCCAGGCAAGUAUUUUGUCUAAAAGGCACUGGGGGAGGAAGUGAUGACAAGAAAGGAACACCGAGCAAGAAAAGAAACAAGAAAAUAAAAUGAUAACAAAAGGGAGAAAUAGGAGAAAAUGGGAGCAAAGACGGGAGCUAUAAAGUCAGAAAUUUCUAGAGAGGCUGGCACCAACUGUCCCCCACCUCCCACCCCAUUCCCUUUGCACCACCUGUCUGUGCCCUCACUUGAUCCUGCCCUGGCUGCAUCCAACCGUCGCUGCCCUGACAUCUACUUGCUGCCUGUGCCCUCACUCAAGGACACACAGGGCAGGGAAAGGAAGGAGGGAGGAAGGAGACUGAGGGAAGAAAGGAGGGGGGAUUUCUGCAGCCAAGAAAACAAAACAGUGAAAGUGGGGGGGGGUGGGAAACACAGAAAGAAGCGGGGGAGGAGGCUGAGAUUUAUAGACCUGUGAGCUGCUUUCUGCGCUGUGAAAUCUAAUUCCGUCCUGUCGGCUUGGAAGCCUUCCCUGCCUGACAGAACCACAGCUCAGGGCAUCGCCUGGCCUGGUACCUGGUGCCUCCUGCCUCCUCCCACCUCCCUGCAGCCCCAAACCCCCCUUGAGUUCUGGCUGGGCAGAGGGAGGCAUGAGGCAGUGACCACCACCCACCCGCAUGGCUAAGCCUUCAGGGAGCAGUGACCAGCUGUAGCGUGACACUGGAGGGGGACAUGGGGCUUCUACAUUCGUUUCUCAGAUCCAGCAGAUGGGCUGGGAGUUUCCUCCCUCCCAUCUCCCCUGUGUGCUCUGAUCCUUUUCUCUUUCCUGGGUGUCAGGGCCUUGUCACGUGCUGGAGGAGGAAAGAGAGGGCAGGGCGGGAGCAUGGGGGAGGAGGGUUGCCAGACCUCCCACUGUCUCUCAAGUGGCGACACAUCUGUUACUUUCCCAUCUCUAUGAUCUCUGUAGUUGCUCCAUCUCCUUUUCAUACUUCCGUGUGCCACGCUCCGCAGUUUUUACUCUACUCAGCCAGGGUUUGCCUGCUCAGAUGGCCCUGAGCAGUAAAGAAACUGAAAUAGCACAAGGUGCUUCUGUGUCUUUUCCUGCGCACGAAAUAGGUGCACUUGCUCCCCUGGUUCUCCCUACAUGCCAUUCUCUUCCGAGGAGCUCUCAACGACAACUGUCUGUCCGCUUCUUGUCCUCCUGUUACUCCCUCCCCUCUGCCUCCCUCCCACCUUCCCUCACAUUCUGUGGCACGCAUAUAUUCUCUUUCCAUUUAGAUAUACCUUUCCUCUCUGCUCGGUUCACUUUUUCUCCUUCCUCAACCCUUCAUUUCCACCUGCCUCCUUCCCUCCCUACACCUGUCUUGUGUCCUUUGUCCUCUCCGUCUCUCCUUCCUUCCCUCUCCUCCCUCUCUGUCCCCCUCUGUCCCUCUCCUCUCCAGCUCUCCCUUCCUCUCCACCUCUGCAUCUCCCCCCUCCACAUUCCCAUCUCUCUCUGUACUGAAUUCCUCUUGGCAAGCAGAGGGCCCAUGAUAAAAUAUGAAUGAGCCGUCUGUGCACGGCAGGCCUUCUCGCCAGGAGAGGCAGAGCCCCUGGAGCAGCUGAGCCAGCUGUGGAGGAGAAGGUGGCACACAGAGCUCCUGAGAGGGAGGGAAGGGCACGACCAUCACCACGCACACCAGCAAUGACCUGCCGAAGAGGUUGAGGUUCAGAAGAAAACAGAUGAGUGCCGACUAUCCCUGCCGGCUAAGGAGACUUGGUGCUGUCCUGUUUUAGCACAAGUAAAACCAAAAAAAAGGUUUGCAGCUGGAAAGAAACUAGAGGGAGGGGGAAGGAGGAGAGAAAGGCCAGGAGAAGCAGUCAGGAGCUACCACACGACACUGGCGUCCUGCUCUGAGGCCAUACUCACGGGAUUGAGCAUCGGGGCCGCCUCGCUGGCAGCCAGGGUGCAUCCGGGGAGCCGCGUGUCUCUCUGGCCAGCCGGGAAGCCCAAAGGCCCGGGACCCACAGCGGACGCGGCUCCCACCUGCCACAGCUCCUCAAUCACCACCUGCAUGCCACUGCCCACGCUGUCACACUCCUCCUCUGCGGCAGAUGCGGCCUUGCAGGCUUCCCCGGGGCUCUCUUUGAGAGGCCCAGCCUCCUCGGGUGGGGAGCCCUGGGCCCUGCUGUCCCCAUCUUCCUCAGGGGCAGAGGCUUUCCCCUGCCUCAGCUCACCCACCUCCUCCUGGAGACAUUUUAGUAAUUCGUUGUUGGCCCUGGCGAGCCCCAGAGCAGCCUCAGCCAGGCCCACUGCCUUCUCCACGCGCUGGUAGAUAAUAUGAAGGAGCUGCUCUGAACUCUGAACUGCCAGGCCAUGUCCGGUCACUGUGAUAGGGGUGCUGGGAGGAGGGUUCCCGCCCUGAGAGCUUGUGCUGCCCCCACUAGUCUCGCUCUUACAGGCGCAGCAGCAACAUCUGGCCUCACUGCCACCAGGAGGGGAGAAGAGAAUGGUGGCACUGAAGGACAUGGUUGACCGCAGCGGGAACAACUUCGGUCACACUGCCGGACUGCUCCAAAAGG